RNAcentral lists this ribosomal RNA (492 nucleotides) under uncultured bacterium. RNAcentral's name for it is "partial 16S ribosomal RNA". It matches the Rfam family "Bacterial small subunit ribosomal RNA", at positions 28 to 507 of the family's 1533-position model. The record is from RNAcentral.
GACGAACGCUGGCGGCGUGCUUAACACAUGCAAGUGGAGCGACGAACCAGGGCUUGCCCUGGGGCAGAGCCGCGAACGGGUGAGUAACACGUGGGUAACGUGCCCCGAUGACUGGGACAACCCGGGGAAACCCGGGCUAAUACCGGAUGUGCCCCCUCUCAUCAGUGAGGUGUGUAAAGGAAGCUUCGGCCUCCGCAUCGGGAUCGGCCCGCGGCCCAUUAGCUUGUUGGGGAGGUAACGGCUCACCAAGGCUGCGAUGGGUAGCUGGUCUGAGAGGACGAUCAGCCACACUGGGACUGAGACACGGCCCAGACUCCUACGGGAGGCAGCAGUGGGGAAUCUUGCGCAAUGCGCGAAAGCGUGACGCAGUAACGCCGCGUGGGGGAAGACGGCCUUCGGGUUGUAAACCCCUUUCAGUUGGGACGAAGGUCGGGCGGUUAACAGCCGUUCCGGCUGACGGUACCUUCACAAGAAGCCCCGGCUAACUACGUG